RNAcentral lists this ribosomal RNA (254 nucleotides) under uncultured bacterium. RNAcentral describes it as "partial 16S ribosomal RNA". It matches the Rfam family "Bacterial small subunit ribosomal RNA", at positions 524 to 776 of the family's 1533-position model. The record is from RNAcentral.
UACGUAGGGUGCGAGCGUUGUCCGGAAUUACUGGGCGUAAAGAGCUCGUAGGCGGUGUGUCGCGUCGGUCGUGAAAACUUGGGGCUUAACUCUGAGCUUGCGGUCGAUACGGGCAUCACUGGAGUUCGGCAGGGGAGACUGGAAUUCCUGGUGUAGCGGUGAAAUGCGCAGAUAUCAGGAGGAACACCGGUGGCGAAGGCGGGUCUCUGGGCCGAUACUGACGCUGAGGAGCGAAAGCGUGGGGAGCGAACAGG